This 1275-nucleotide long non-coding RNA is filed under the name Sparus aurata (gilthead seabream). RNAcentral describes it as "lncRNA (ENSSAUG00010002871.1)". The record is from RNAcentral. Lineage: Eukaryota; Metazoa; Chordata; Actinopteri; Spariformes; Sparidae.
AGGAGACAGAGGACAGUUAGACAGAGACAAGCAGCCAAUCAGAGACAAGCAGCCAACCAGAGACAAGCAACCAACCAGAGACAAGCAGCCAAUCAGAGACAAGCAGCCAAUCAGAGACAAGCAGCCAACCAGAGACAAGCAGCCAACCAGAGACAAGCAGCCAAUCAGAGACAAGCAGCCAACCAGAGACAAGCAACCAACCAGAGACUAGCAACCAACCAGAGACAAGCAACCAAUCAGAGACAAGCAGCCAACCAGAGACAAGCAGCCAAUCAGAGACAAGCAACCAACCAGAGACAAGCAACCAACCAGAGACAAGCAGUCAACCAGAGACAAGCAGCCAAUCAGAGACAAGCAGCCAACCAGAGACAAGCAGCCAACCAGAGACAAGCAGCCAAUCAGAGACAAGCAGCCAACCAGAGACAAGCAGCCAACCAGAGACAAGCAGCCAAUCAGAGACAAGCAGCCAACCAGAGACAAGCAGCCAACCAGAGACAAGCAGCCAAUCAGAGACAAGCAGCCAACCAGAGACAAGCAGCCAACCAGAGACAAGCAUCCAAACAGAGACAAGCAGUCAACCAGAGACAAGCAGCCAAUCAGAGACAAGCAGCCAACCAGAGACAAGCAGCCAACCAGAGACAAGCAGCCAAUCAGAGACAAGCAGCCAACCAGAGACAAGCAGCCAACCAGAGACAAGCAGCCAACCAAAGACAAGCAGCCAAUCAGAGACAAGCAGCCAACCAGAGACAAGCAGCCAACCAGAGACAAGCAGCCAACCAGAGACAAGCAGCCAAUCAGAGACAAGCAGCCAACCAGAGACAAGCAGCCAACCAGAGACAAGCAGCCAACCAGAGACAAGCAGCCAAUCAGAGACAAGCAGCCAACCAGAGACAAGCAGCCAACCAGAGACAAGCAGCCAACCAAAGACAAGCAGCCAAUCAGAGACAAGCAGCCAACCAGAGACAAGCAGCCAACCAGAGACAAGCAGCCAACCAGAGACAAGCAGCCAAUCAGAGACAGACACACAGACCUCUGUUCUGUAUCUUCAUACUGACCUUUGACUUUGAGCUCCACUGUUUUCACUCGCCACACGUCCUUGUUGUAGACUUCACACCUGUACGUUCCUGUGUCUGUCUCUUUGGGGUGUUUCAGGGUCAGACUGAGGUCUCCAGUCUUCAGCAGGUCUUUCUUCAUCUCUGUUCGGUCUUUGUAAUCCUGGUCCUGUUCUUCAGGCUGCUCAGAUCUGUUCUCAUACAGGUGGACUGUACUGUAUGA